This 240-nucleotide unclassified non-coding RNA is filed under the name soil metagenome. Its description in RNAcentral is "partial contains 5.8S ribosomal RNA, internal transcribed spacer 2, and large subunit ribosomal RNA". The record is from RNAcentral.
AACACUGUUAACCUGCGGUACCUGCGGAGGGAUCAUUAAAAAGAGUGCGUACCCCCCUGUAAAAUGGGUGGGUGAAACUCCCGUCCUUUGUUGACCUCUUAGGAGGUUAUUUUGAACUUUCUGCUUCGGUGGGGUUAAAUCUACCGGAACAUCCUCAAAUUCUGAUCAUUUAAAAUUUGUUCAGUCCGAGAAUUUUUGUUUAAAAACAAAAAAACUUUCAACAACGGAUCUCAGAUCGGA